RNAcentral lists this unclassified non-coding RNA (348 nucleotides) under soil metagenome. RNAcentral describes it as "partial contains 5.8S ribosomal RNA, internal transcribed spacer 2, and large subunit ribosomal RNA". The stretch from base 1 to 120 matches the Rfam family "5.8S ribosomal RNA", at positions 35 to 154 of the family's 154-position model. The record is from RNAcentral.
GAUGAAGAACGUAGCGAAAUGCGAUAAGUAAGGUGAAUUGCAGAAUUCAGUGAAUCAUCGAGUCUUUGAACGCACAUUGCGCCCCCUGGUAUUCCGGGGGGCAUGCCUGUCCGAGCGUCAUUGCUGCCCUCAAGCACGGCUUGUGUGUUGGGCCGCCGUCCCCGGUUUCCCCCGGGGACGGGCCCGAAAGGCAGCGGCGGCACCGCGUCCGAUCCUCGAGCGUAUGGGGCUUUGUCACCCGCUCUGUAGGCCCGGCCGGCGCCAGCCGACACCCAACUUUAUUUCUAAGGUUGACCUCGGAUCAGGUAGGGAUACCCGCUGAACUUAAGCAUAUCAAUAAGCGGAGGA